This 650-nucleotide ribosomal RNA is filed under the name Acinetobacter baumannii OIFC189. RNAcentral's name for it is "bacterial SSU rRNA". It matches the Rfam family "Bacterial small subunit ribosomal RNA", at positions 55 to 699 of the family's 1533-position model. The record is from RNAcentral. Lineage: Bacteria; Pseudomonadati; Pseudomonadota; Gammaproteobacteria; Moraxellales; Moraxellaceae.
AUGCAAGUCGAGCGGGGGAAGGUAGCUUGCUACUGGACCUAGCGGCGGACGGGUGAGUAAUGCUUAGGAAUCUGCCUAUUAGUGGAGGACAACAUCUCGAAAGGGAUGCUAAUACCGCAUACGUCCUACGGGAGAAAGCAGGGGAUCUUCGGACCUUGCGCUAAUAGAUGAGCCUAAGUCGGAUUAGCUAGUUGGUGGGGUAAAGGCCUACCAAGGCGACGAUCUGUAGCGGGUCUGAGAGGAUGAUCCGCCACACUGGGACUGAGACACGGCCCAGACUCCUACGGGAGGCAGCAGUGGGGGAUAUCGGACAAUGGGGGGAACCCUGAUCCAGCCAUGCCGCGUGUGUGAAGAAGGCCUUAUGGUUGUAAAGCACUUUAAGCGAGGAGGAGGCUACUUUAGUUAAUACCUAGAGAUAGUGGACGUUACUCGCAGAAUAAGCACCGGCUAACUCUGUGCCAGCAGCCGCGGUAAUACAGAGGGUGCGAGCGUUAAUCGGAUUUACUGGGCGUAAAGCGUGCGUAGGCGGCUUAUUAAGUCGGAUGUGAAAUCCCCGAGCUUAACUUGGGAAUUGCAUUCGAUACUGGUGAGCUAGAGUAUGGGAGAGGAUGGUAGAAUUCCAGGUGUAGCGGUGAAAUGCGUAGAGAUCU